Molecule: non-coding RNA, 528 nt
Organism: Struthio camelus australis
Lineage: Eukaryota; Metazoa; Chordata; Aves; Struthioniformes; Struthionidae
Source: RefSeq, a predicted model, not a curated record
CAGCCAUCUCUCGUGUAUGACCUCUGAGGAGCUCCUCUUUGUUAUCUGCUCUGCCACCAGAAUGAUUUGAUAGAGCACCAAUGCUUUUCAGAGGGUGCCUCAUUAGUGAACCGUGGCACAGAUCAGGCCUCAGCAACAAAGAUUUGAGAUACUGGAGCGCAGCCCAUGAGUUGGGAGUGGAGGAAAGGAAAAGCUGCAGCUUGGCUUCUUCUCUCUGACCACUAGCCAGCUCCAUAUCUCAGGAUGGAUCCAGCAGGAACAUGGGAGCUGACAUGCAAGAAGCCCCAGUGCUCUGCCAAGGCCACACAGGUCAGGGGAAAAGUGUGACUUUGCCAAAUUCGCAAAGCGCCGCGGACGUGGCUGGCCUGGCAAUGACUCAGGGGUGAGUAGCUGCAAGAACCUCCAAGGCCAGACUUUGGAGGCGUUUUGCUAUCUAAAGAAAGCAGUAAGGUGUUAAAUGCUGAAGAGCUUUAAAAACCUAUGUGCCGGUCUUCCUUACCAGCACCUGUGGCUGCUGGGGAGUGUGUA